Molecule: ribosomal RNA, 253 nt
Filed under: uncultured bacterium
Lineage: Bacteria
Description: partial 16S ribosomal RNA
Rfam family: Bacterial small subunit ribosomal RNA
Source: RNAcentral
UACGUAGGGUGCGAGCGUUAAUCGGAAUUACUGGGCGUAAAGCGUGCGCAGGCGGUUUUGUAAGCCAGAUGUGAAAUCCCCGGGCUCAACCUGGGAACUGCAUUUGUGACUGCAUCGCUGGAGUGCGGCAGAGGGGGAUGGAAUUCCGCGUGUAGCAGUGAAAUGCGUAGAUAUCGGGAGGAACACCAGUGGCGAAGGCGACUACCUGGCCUGUUCUUGACGCUGAGGCGCGAAAGCUAGGGGAGCAAACGGG